This 627-nucleotide ribosomal RNA is filed under the name Micrococcaceae bacterium. RNAcentral's name for it is "bacterial SSU rRNA". It matches the Rfam family "Bacterial small subunit ribosomal RNA", at positions 217 to 852 of the family's 1533-position model. The record is from RNAcentral. Lineage: Bacteria; Bacillati; Actinomycetota; Actinomycetes; Micrococcales; Micrococcaceae.
GGUUUUGGAUGGACUCGCGGCCUAUCAGCUUGUUGGUGGGGUAAUGGCCUACCAAGGCGACGACGGGUAGCCGGCCUGAGAGGGUGACCGGCCACACUGGGACUGAGACACGGCCCAGACUCCUACGGGAGGCAGCAGUGGGGAAUAUUGCACAAUGGGCGAAAGCCUGAUGCAGCGACGCCGCGUGAGGGAUGACGGCCUUCGGGUUGUAAACCUCUUUCAGUAGGGAAGAAGCCGCAAGGUGACGGUACCUGCAGAAGAAGCGCCGGCUAACUACGUGCCAGCAGCCGCGGUAAUACGUAGGGCGCAAGCGUUAUCCGGAAUUAUUGGGCGUAAAGAGCUCGUAGGCGGUUUGUCGCGUCUGCCGUGAAAGUCCGGGGCUCAACUCCGGAUCUGCGGUGGGUACGGGCAGACUAGAGUGAUGUAGGGGAGACUGGAAUUCCUGGUGUAGCGGUGAAAUGCGCAGAUAUCAGGAGGAACACCGAUGGCGAAGGCAGGUCUCUGGGCAUUAACUGACGCUGAGGAGCGAAAGCAUGGGGAGCGAACAGGAUUAGAUACCCUGGUAGUCCAUGCCGUAAACGUUGGGCACUAGGUGUGGGGGACAUUCCACGUUUUCCGCGCCGUAGC